Long non-coding RNA from Eubalaena glacialis (North Atlantic right whale), 1114 nucleotides. RefSeq lists it as uncharacterized. The record is from RefSeq and is a predicted model, not a curated record. The transcript is spliced from 3 exons. NCBI's taxonomy places the organism in Eukaryota, Metazoa, Chordata, Mammalia, Artiodactyla, Balaenidae.
AGGCGGGUGGAGGCGGCCCCCGGGGCGGGAACAGGGGCAGGGGAGGGACGGGGAAGGGGCGAGGGGGCGCGAGGCCGCCUCGGUGAUCGCGGGUCGGCCGGAGAAUAUGGGGAGUUCCGGAGCGCGGGUCCGGCGGGACGGACUUGGGGCCGUGGCCCACUCGGCUCCUGAGCCUGCCGCAGGGGUCACCGCAUCACCCGGCGGCGGCCCCUUUAUGCGCUGCCGCCCGAGCCGCCGCCGCCGCCACCGCGGUAGCUGCCUCUUCCUUCUAGGCUCAGCGCCGCCUCCUCAGCCGCCGCGGAUCCCUCCGCCAGGGAGCAAGAGCCCAGGCCUCGGGCUCGGCCGGCGCCUCUGGGUCGGACGGUCGGAGGAACUGCUUGCUGCAGAUCACCCGACCAUCCCCAGAGCAUAGACGGACCCGAGAAGAGCACUUAGGUCCAUUGCAAUGUUCCUGAAGGAGGAAGGGACUUGUCCAAGGUCACACGGCUCCACAGUGGCAAAGCUGGGACUUCCCUUAAGUCGAGAGUUUCGUCAAAUCCCUCUCUGGAAUCCGCGUGGCAACAGCCUGGGCACCUGCGGGAAUGUGGUUGUACAAGCACGCCGCAGGCAGCCCUGAGAUGGUGUUUCCGACGAAGGCCCCAGCUGAGAGACAGUUUGAAUGUCUCAGCCACUGGCAUGUCAGGAGAAGUGCUCUGCUUGGGCUUCCCUGGUGGUGAAGAAUCCGUCUGCCAAUGCAGGGGACACGGGUUUGAGCCCUGGGCCGGGAAGAUCACACGUGCCGCAGAGCAACUAAGCCCGUGUGCCACAACUACUGAGCCUGCGCUCCAGAUCCCACGAGCCACAGCUACUGAGCCCACGUGCCACAGCUACGGAAGCCCGCACGCCUAGAGCCUGUGCUCCACAACAAGAGAAGCCACCGCAAUGAGAAGCCCAUGCACCACAAUGAAGAGCAGCCCCCGCUCGCCGCAACUAGAGAAAGCCCGGGCGCAGCAACGAAGAUCCAAUGCAGCCAUAAAUAAAUAAAUAAAAUUAAUAAAUUAAAAAAAAUAUUGCUAUAGUGAAAAAAAUAUACUGCUAUAGUGGAUAUUCUGUAGUUGAUCUUUGUACAACUCUA